This 582-nucleotide ribosomal RNA is filed under the name bacterium 2h82709. RNAcentral describes it as "bacterial SSU rRNA". It matches the Rfam family "Bacterial small subunit ribosomal RNA", at positions 245 to 845 of the family's 1533-position model. The record is from RNAcentral.
CUUGUUGGUGGGGUGAUGGCCUACCAAGGCGGUGACGGGUAGCCGGCCUGAGAGGGCGACCGGCCACACUGGGACUGAGACACGGCCCAGACUCCUACGGGAGGCAGCAKUGGGGAAUAUUGCGCAAUGGGCGGAAGCCUGACGCAGCGACGCCGCGUGGGGGAUGACGGCCUUCGGGUUGUAAACCUCUUUCGCCAGGGACGAAGAGUGAUUGACGGUACCUGGAGAAGAAGCACCGGCCAACUACGUGCCAGCAGCCGCGGUAACACGUAGGGUGCGAGCGUUGUCCGGAAUUAUUGGGCGUAAAGAGCUCGUAGGCGGUGUGUCGCGUCGGCCGUGAAAACUUGGGGCUUAACUCUGAGCGUGCGGUCGAUACGGGCAUCACUUGAGUUCGGCAGGGGAGACUGGAAUUCCUGGUGUAGCGGUGAAAUGCGCAGAUAUCAGGAGGAACACCGGUGGCGAAGGCGGGUCUCUGGGCCGAUACUGACGCUGAGGAGCGAAAGCGUGGGGAGCGAACAGGAUUAGAUACCCUGGUAGUCCACGCCGUAAACGUUGGGCGCUAGGUGUGGGGACCAUUCCACG